This 357-nucleotide ribosomal RNA is filed under the name uncultured bacterium. Its description in RNAcentral is "bacterial SSU rRNA". It matches the Rfam family "Bacterial small subunit ribosomal RNA", at positions 9 to 353 of the family's 1533-position model. The record is from RNAcentral.
GAGUUUUGAUCAUGGCUCAGGAUGAACGCUAGCUACAGGCUUAACACAUGCAAGUCGAGGGGCAGCAUGGUCUUAGCUUGCUAAGGCCGAUGGCGACCGGCGCACGGGUGAGUAACGCGUAUCCAACCUGCCUUACACUCUUGGACAGCCUUCUGAAAGGGAGAUUAAUACAAGAUGUUAUCAUGAGUAAGCAUUUUCGCAUGAUUAAAGGUUUACCGGUGUAAGAUGGGGGAUGCGUUCCAUUAGAUAGUAGGCGGGGUAACGGCCCACCUAGUCUUCGAUGGAUAGGGGUUUUCUGAGAGGAAGGUCCCCCACAUUGGAACUGAGACACGGUCCAAACUCCUACGGGAGGCAGCA